CUGAGAGGAUGACCAGCCACACUGGAACUGAGACACGGUCCAGACUCCUACGGGAGGCAGCAGUGGGGAAUAUUGCACAAUGGGCGCAAGCCUGAUGCAGCCAUGCCGCGUGUAUGAAGAAGGCCUUCGGGUUGUAAAGUACUUUCAGCGGGGAGGAAGGGAGUAAAGUUAAUACCUUUGCUCAUUGACGUUACCCGCAGAAGAAGCACCGGCUAACUCCGUGCCAGCAGCCGCGGUAAUACGGAGGGUGCAAGCGUUAAUCGGAAUUACUGGGCGUAAAGCGCACGCAGGCGGUUUGUUAAGUCAGAUGUGAAAUCCCCGGGCUCAACCUGGGAACUGCAUCUGAUACUGGCAAGCUUGAGUCUC
RNAcentral lists this ribosomal RNA (366 nucleotides) under Escherichia coli. RNAcentral's name for it is "bacterial SSU rRNA". It matches the Rfam family "Bacterial small subunit ribosomal RNA", at positions 292 to 650 of the family's 1533-position model. Lineage: Bacteria; Pseudomonadati; Pseudomonadota; Gammaproteobacteria; Enterobacterales; Enterobacteriaceae. The record is from RNAcentral.